ACGCUCGACACCUACGGGAUGCAGCAGUGGGGAAUAUUGCACAAUGGAGGAAACUCUGAUGCAGCGAUGCCGCGUGAGGGAAGAAGGUUUUCGGAUUGUAAACCUCUGUCUUUGGGGACGAUAAUGACGGUACCCAAGGAGGAAGCUCCGGCUAACUACGUGCCAGCAGCCGCGGUAAUCUGAGCGGCUGGCAAGGC
Molecule: ribosomal RNA, 197 nt
Filed under: uncultured bacterium
Lineage: Bacteria
Description: partial 16S ribosomal RNA
Rfam family: Bacterial small subunit ribosomal RNA
Source: RNAcentral